Molecule: unclassified non-coding RNA, 209 nt
Filed under: soil metagenome
Description: partial contains 5.8S ribosomal RNA, internal transcribed spacer 2, and large subunit ribosomal RNA
Source: RNAcentral
AACAUCGCGCACCUGCGGGAACCUGCGGAAGGAUCAUUACCGAGUUAUACAACUCAUCAACCCUGUGAACAUACCUAUAACGUUGCCUCGGCGGGAACAGACGGCCCCGUAACACGGGCCGCCCCCGCCAGAGGACCCCCUAACUCUGUUUCUAUAAUGUUUCUUCUGAGUAAACAAGCAAAUAAAUUAAAACUUUCAACAACGGAUCU